RNAcentral lists this long non-coding RNA (1002 nucleotides) under Oryctolagus cuniculus (rabbit). Its description in RNAcentral is "lncRNA (ENSOCUG00000035964.1)". The record is from RNAcentral. Lineage: Eukaryota; Metazoa; Chordata; Mammalia; Lagomorpha; Leporidae.
CGAAUCUGAGCCUUGAUUCCGUGAGGACAAUGACGCAAGUGCCCAAGGGGUGAUGAAUCCAGGAAAACGAGACAAGCGGCCGGCGACCCCCAACACCAUCCAAGGAUCGGGACGAGUGCCGCCCGCGUCCCCUCGGCGGGCGUCCAUGUGGGGAAAGAAGCCACGGGUUCCUCUGCUUGUGAGCACAAGUCCACGUCACCUGCAGUGGCCAGGCUGCCAACGGCCCCUACCAGGUGAGACGGAGCCGGGGCCACACUGGCCGCUCCGAAGCCGAGGCGCGAAGCCGUCAGCCGCGCCUGGAGAUCCUCCCGGGCGGAGGCGGGAGCCCAGCUGCACCUAAUCCUCCCCACCUCCCCUUCCAAGGUCUAAGUCAGCAACAGUGGCAUAGGAAGCAGGUGCUGGGCUCCAGGAGGAGGAGCGGGGGUGGGGAAGCAGCGGGAUGGGUCCUGGGGUGGAGGGAAGAGGAGUCACACCAGGGUCUCCUCCUCUUCCUGGAGAGUAACCCACCACGGGACCAUGCAGCCCAGAACGUUCACGGUGACGGGGAGCAGAGCGAGGGCUCAUGUCAAGGGAGGGAGCUUUGGCCAAAGGGACGCCGCCCUCACCCCCGCUGGCACGAGAAGCUUCUCGGUGUCCAGCAAGCUGGGCACGGGCAUCAGGGACGGAAAGACUUGCAGACUCGAAGCCAGACCACAAGCAGCAGCAGGCUGCAGGGUCUGGGAGGCCGGCGCGUUGACACCAACACUGCCUGGGACAGCCCCCACCCCGAAACAGGAACCCAGAAAGUAGGGGGCGGGAAGGAGGCAGGAGCCCCACCCGGAAGGAGCCUUCUCGGCCCACUUCCCUUCCCCUGCCACGGGGCUGGCACAUUACAGCACACCGUCCCCGCCUCCCUUGGAGGGAGGGGCCAUUGGCAUCCUCCUGGCGGAACAGGUGCAGGCAGAAACCCCUGGAGAAUGAGUCGCUUCAAAUCAAGAGGCUCUGGGAUGAGGCGCUGCUCCC